This 458-nucleotide ribosomal RNA is filed under the name Campylobacter sp. canine oral taxon 011. RNAcentral's name for it is "bacterial SSU rRNA". It matches the Rfam family "Bacterial small subunit ribosomal RNA", at positions 9 to 466 of the family's 1533-position model. The record is from RNAcentral. Lineage: Bacteria; Pseudomonadati; Campylobacterota; Epsilonproteobacteria; Campylobacterales; Campylobacteraceae.
GAGUUUGAUUAUGGCUCAGAGUGAACGCUGGCGGCGUGCCUAAUACAUGCAAGUCGAACGGAGAUGUGAGGGCUUGCUCUUAUAUCUUAGUGGCGCACGGGUGAGUAAUGUAUAGCUAAUCUGCCCUACACUAGAGGACAACAGUUGGAAACGACUGCUAAUACUCUAUACUCCUUCUUUACAUAAGUUAAGUCGGGAAAGUUUUUCGGUGUAGGAUGAGGCUAUAUCGUAUCAGCUAGUUGGUGAGGUAAUGGCUCACCAAGGCUAUGACGCGUAACUGGUCUGAGAGGAUGAUCAGUCACACUGGAACUGAGACACGGUCCAGACUCCUACGGGAGGCAGCAGUAGGGAAUAUUGCUCAAUGGGGGAAACCCUGGAGCAGCAACGCNGCGUGGAGGAUGACACUUUUCGGAGCGUAAACUCCUUUUCUUGGGAAAGAAUAUGACGUACCCAGAAGC